This 237-nucleotide unclassified non-coding RNA is filed under the name uncultured Myxotrichaceae. RNAcentral describes it as "sequence contains 5.8S rRNA gene". The stretch from base 1 to 53 matches the Rfam family "5.8S ribosomal RNA", at positions 102 to 154 of the family's 154-position model. The record is from RNAcentral. Lineage: Eukaryota; Fungi; Ascomycota; Leotiomycetes; Myxotrichaceae.
GAACGCAUCUUGCGCUCCUUGGUAUUCUGAGGAGCAUGCCUGUUUGAGCGUCAUUUCAACCCUCAAGCUCUGCUUGGUGUUGGGCCCCGCCCGCUCGCGGCCGGCCCUAAAGACAGUGGCGGCAGCGUCUGGCUCCAAGCGUAGUACAAUCCUCGCUCUGGUGCUAGGCGGUGGCCUGCCAGAACCCCCCUUCUAUGGUUGACCUCGGAUCAGGUAGGGAUACCCGCUGAACUUAAG